CUUGUUUUUGCAUGUCAGAUUAUUUGAGGAGGUGGAAGGAUUUGGUUUGUGGUUUGUGGAAGAGGAUUGAUGAGUCUGAGAAGAUCAAGCAACAAUUGGCAGAGUGUUUGGGAAUUCCACGAUAUUAAAUCGCAGACUCACAGUCCCUAUCCACAGGUGUUAAAGAUCAUAACUACAAAACUUGGAAUUACAAAAGGCAAAUACAUGCAUCUUUUUUAGUCGAAACCCAGUCUUAGAGUGGGGAAAUAAUUACUACAAAACUUGGGUUUACCAAGGGCAAGAAUAUAUGGAGCUUGGCCUCUAGUCUUUGAGUGAAGAGUUCUUCACUCGUUUAUAUUCACUAUUUUUGGAUAUGUUAUGUGUACUUGAAUAACUAGUAUGCUCGUGUACUUUUGAAUGAAAGAAACUUUUAUUCA
Molecule: non-coding RNA, 416 nt
Organism: Prunus mume (Japanese apricot)
Lineage: Eukaryota; Viridiplantae; Streptophyta; Magnoliopsida; Rosales; Rosaceae
Source: RefSeq, a predicted model, not a curated record